CGAUUCGAGCGUCAGCGAGAAAGCGUUGCCGCAGGCAACGACCCGAAGGGCGAAGCGCGCAGCGCUGAGUCAUCCUUCCCCCACCACCA
RNAcentral lists this small RNA (89 nucleotides) under Salmonella enterica subsp. enterica serovar Heidelberg. RNAcentral describes it as "partial RtT sRNA". It matches the Rfam family "RtT RNA", at positions 44 to 130 of the family's 130-position model. From Rfam's summary of the family: This family represents a bacterial cis-regulatory element known as RtT RNA. The exact function of RtT is unknown although it is thought that it may be involved in changing the cellular response in relation to amino acid starvation. Lineage: Bacteria; Pseudomonadati; Pseudomonadota; Gammaproteobacteria; Enterobacterales; Enterobacteriaceae. RNAcentral also lists the same sequence under 8 other names. The record is from RNAcentral.